CCUACGGGAGGCAGCAGUGGGGAAUAUUGCACAAUGGGGGCAACCCUGAUGCAGCGACGCCGCGUGAGUGAAGAAGUAAUUCGUUAUGUAAAACUCUAUCAGCAGGGACGAAAAUGACGGUACCUGAUUAAGAAGCCCCGGCUAACUACGUUCCAGCAGCCGCGGUAAUACGUAGGGGGCAAGCGUUAUCCGGCUUUACUGGGUGUUAAGGGGGCGUAGACGGCAGUGCAAGUCUGGAGUGAAAGGGGGGGGCUCAACCCCCGGACUGCUCUGGAAACUGUAAGGCUGGAGUGCAGGAGAGGGAAGUGGAAUUCCUAGUGUAGCGGUGAAAUGCGUAGAUAUUAGGAGGAACACCAGUGGCGAAGGCGGCUUACUGGACUGUAACUGACGUUGAGGCGCGAAAGCGUGGGGAGCAAACAGGAUUAGAUACCCCGGUAGUC
Molecule: ribosomal RNA, 440 nt
Filed under: uncultured bacterium
Lineage: Bacteria
Description: partial 16S ribosomal RNA
Rfam family: Bacterial small subunit ribosomal RNA
Source: RNAcentral